AGCUUGCUUCGGUGACCCGAGUGGCGGACGGGUGAGUAACACGUGACCAACCUACCUUCGGGAGGGGGACAACCUGGGGAAACCUGGGCUAAUACCGCAUAUCGUCCACGGGUCGCAUGACCUGUGGAUAAAAGGGAGCCUCUGCUUGCAUGCUCUCACUCGAAGAGGGGGUCGCGGCGUAUCAGCUAGUUGGUGGGGUAACGGCCUACCAAGGCGACGACGCGUAGCGGGUCUGAGAGGACGACCCGUCACAUUGGGACUGAGAUACGGCCCAGACUCCUACGGGAGGCAGCAGUGGGGAAUAUUGCGCAAUGGCCGAAAGGUUGACGCAGCGACGCCGCGUGUGGGAGGACGCCCUUCGGGGUGUAAACCACUGUCAGGGGGGAAGAACUUCGCAGGUGUGAAUAGCGCUUGCGGUUGACGGUACCCCCAGAGGAAGCGCCGGCUAACUCCGUGCCAGCAGCCGCGGUAAGACGGAGGGCGCAAGCGUUGUUCGGAAUUACUGGGCGUAAAGGGCAGGUAGGUGGUCUGUUAAGUCUUCUGUGAAAAUCCGGGGCUCAACCCCGUGAAAUGCAGGUGAAACUGGCAGACUUGAGACCGGUAGAGGCUAGCGGAAUUCCUGGUGUAGCGGUGGAAUGCGUA
Molecule: ribosomal RNA, 642 nt
Filed under: uncultured bacterium
Lineage: Bacteria
Description: bacterial SSU rRNA
Rfam family: Bacterial small subunit ribosomal RNA
Source: RNAcentral